RNAcentral lists this ribosomal RNA (253 nucleotides) under uncultured bacterium. Its description in RNAcentral is "partial 16S ribosomal RNA". It matches the Rfam family "Bacterial small subunit ribosomal RNA", at positions 524 to 776 of the family's 1533-position model. The record is from RNAcentral.
UACGUAGGGUGCAAGCGUUGUCCGGAAUUACUGGGCGUAAAGGGUUCGUAGGUGGCCACUUAAGUCAGACGUGAAAUCCCUCAGCUUAACUGGGGAACUGCGUCUGAUACUGAGUGGCUUGAGUGCAGGAGAGGAAUGCGGAAUUCCAGGUGUAGCGGUGAAAUGCGUAGAUAUCUGGAGGAGCACCGGUGGCGAAGGCGGCAUUCUGGACUGUAACUGACACUGAGGAACGAAAGCCAGGGGAGCAAACGGG